GAAGCUGACCAGACAGUCGCCGCUUCGUCGUCGUCCUUUCGGGGAGACGGGCGGAGGGGAGGAAAGUCCGGGCUCCAUAGGGCAGGGUGCCAGGUAACGCCUGGGGGGGAAACCCACGACCAGUGCAACAGAGAGCAAACCGCCGAUGGCUCACGUAAGUGGGAUCAGGUAAGGGUGAAAGGGUGCGGUAAGAGCGCACCGCGCGGCUGGUAACAGUCCGUGGCACGGUAAACUCCACCCGGAGCAAGGCCAAAUAGGGGUUCAUAAGGUACGGCCCGUACUGAACCCGGGUAGGCUGCUUGAGCCAGUGAGCGAUUGCUGGCCUAGAUGAAUGACUGUCCACGACAGAACCCGGCUUAUCGGUCAGUUUCACUU
This 375-nucleotide RNase P RNA is filed under the name Salmonella enterica. RNAcentral's name for it is "RNase P RNA component class A". It matches the Rfam family "Bacterial RNase P class A". From Rfam's summary of the family: Ribonuclease P (RNase P) is a ubiquitous endoribonuclease, found in archaea, bacteria and eukarya as well as chloroplasts and mitochondria. The record is from RNAcentral. Lineage: Bacteria; Pseudomonadati; Pseudomonadota; Gammaproteobacteria; Enterobacterales; Enterobacteriaceae.